Molecule: long non-coding RNA, 486 nt
Organism: Drosophila subpulchrella
Lineage: Eukaryota; Metazoa; Arthropoda; Insecta; Diptera; Drosophilidae
Exons: 3
Source: RefSeq, a predicted model, not a curated record
CAGAACGUUGAUGAAUAUCAGACAAAUAUCAAACGCUAAACAACUAAUGGAUCAUCUUCAAGUCAUUACAUCGAAAUGGGAGUUUGAAUUCCGCACUCUGCGAUAUGUCGAUAGAACUUUAAUAAAUCUCAGACGAAUAUCAAACGCUGGACCGACUAAUGGAUCAUCUUCGAAAUGGGAGUUUAAAUUCCGCAAAACCACAGCACUCAGUGAUAUGUUGAUAUGAGUCUCGGCUUCUUCAUCUUGUCCCGCUGCCAAAAGCUUUUCCAUGUUGACGCAACUUUCCGCUCCAAGUGAACUUCGUCCUUGGAGCAGAAGCCACUAAUCAGAGCGGAAUGCAGUUGAGAACUUGGCCAAUGGAUUUAGUAUGUAUGCAUGUACCAUACAUAUAUGUAUGGUUCCCAGGAAAGGGUCUGGACUGGAACAAUAGAGCGACCUUCGGCCUCGGAAAACUCACUCAGCACAAUUUCCACUGAACCAUUAUUA